This 268-nucleotide long non-coding RNA is filed under the name Phoenix dactylifera (date palm). Its description in RNAcentral is "long non-coding RNA (PDAC_LNC020094)". Lineage: Eukaryota; Viridiplantae; Streptophyta; Magnoliopsida; Arecales; Arecaceae. The record is from RNAcentral.
UGACUAAACCGUGUUGUGGGAAGAACCUUGGUAAAUAUAUCAUCAAAUUGAUCAACUGUACCAACAAAAUGAAUUUGAAUAUCACCAUGUAUAACUCAUCAGCAAAAUGAUAGUCUAGUUUGACAUGCUUGGUACAAGCAUAAUAAACUAGAUCGGAAGCACUAAUGUAGUUGGUUGUGAAGAAAAUGUGAUAAAACUAUAUGGUAUAUCAAUAAGAAACUAAAAACCUUAUGAUAUAUCAGAUGAAUUAAACACAGCAGAAAUAGAA